This 253-nucleotide ribosomal RNA is filed under the name uncultured bacterium. RNAcentral's name for it is "partial 16S ribosomal RNA". It matches the Rfam family "Bacterial small subunit ribosomal RNA", at positions 524 to 776 of the family's 1533-position model. The record is from RNAcentral.
UACGUAGGGGGCAAGCGUUGUCCGGAUUUAUUGGGCGUAAAGAGCGUGUAGGCGGCUAGGUAGGUCCGUUGUGAAAACUCGAGGCUCAACCUCGAGACGUCGAUGGAAACCAUCUAGCUAGAGUCCGGAAGAGGAGAGUGGAAUUCCUGGUGUAGCGGUGAAAUGCGCAGAUAUCAGGAAGAACACCCGUGGCGAGGGCGGCUCUCUGGUACGUGACUGACGCUGAGACGCGAAAGCGUGGGGAGCGAACAGG